GACGAACGCUGGCGGCGUGCUUAACACAUGCAAGUCGAACGGAAAGGCCCUGCUUUUGUGGGGUGCUCGAGUGGCGAACGGGUGAGUAACACGUGAGUAACCUGCCCUUGACCUUGGGAUAACUUCAGGAAACUGGGGCUAAUACCGGAUAGGAGCUCCUGCUGCAUGGUGGGGGUUGGAAAGUUUCGGCGGUUGGGGAUGGACUCGCGGCUUAUCAGCUUGUUGGUGGGGUAGUGGCUUACCAAGGCUUUGACGGGUAGCCGGCCUGAGAGGGUCACCGGACACAUUGGGACGGAGAUACGGCCCAGACUCCUACGGGAGGCAGCAGUGGGGAAUAGUGCACUAUGGGAGGAAGCCUGAUGCAGCAACGCCGCGUGCGGGAUGAGGGCCUGCGGGUUGUAAACCACUUUCGCCUGAGACGAAGCGUGAGUGACGGUAAUGGGUAAAGAAGCACCGGCUAACUACGUG
This 468-nucleotide ribosomal RNA is filed under the name uncultured bacterium. RNAcentral describes it as "partial 16S ribosomal RNA". It matches the Rfam family "Bacterial small subunit ribosomal RNA", at positions 28 to 507 of the family's 1533-position model. The record is from RNAcentral.